UGGACUACUGGGGUUUCUAAUCCUGUUUGCUCCCCACGCUUUCGCGCCUCAGCGUCAGUAAUGUUCCAGAAGAUUGCCUUCGCUUUUGGUAUUCCUAGUUAUCUCUACGGAUUUUACCCCUACACAACUAAUUCCAUCUUCCUCUCCCACACUCUAGCCUGAUAGUUUUGGAUGCAGUUCUAUGGUUGAGCCAUAGGCUUUCACAUCCAACUUAAAAGGCCGCCUGCGCGCGCUUUACGCCCAGUGAUUCCGAGUAACGCUUGCACCCUCCGUAUUACCGCGGCUGCUGGCACGGAGUUAGCCGGUGCUUAUUCAUAUAGUACCGUCAUUAUCUUCCUAUAUAAAAGGAGUUUACACACCGAAAUGCGUCAUCCUCCACGCGGCGUUGCUGCAUCAGGGU
This 400-nucleotide unclassified non-coding RNA is filed under the name uncultured bacterium. RNAcentral's name for it is "contains 16S-23S intergenic spacer region". The record is from RNAcentral.